Molecule: long non-coding RNA, 1424 nt
Filed under: Bemisia tabaci
Lineage: Eukaryota; Metazoa; Arthropoda; Insecta; Hemiptera; Aleyrodidae
Description: lncRNA ENSSSA1NGG007065
Source: RNAcentral
UUCUUGAUUAUGUAACUUUAUUGUUGAAAAUGUGACUAGUGUUUUUUUUCCUCCACACCCACAGCUAUUCACACUACUCAAAUGAUUACUUUUGAGCUGUGCAUUUAAACUGUUACUCCGAAUUGUUGAUCCUAAUUGGUGCUCAUAAUUCUAUCUUCUCAUACCUAUUUUCAUAAAAAUUCUGAUCAAAUAAUACUUGUAAAAGUUCAUAAAGACACUAACAAUAAUAAAAUAGCCAGGAAGGUACUAAAAUUAAGUCUAAAAAUCAGGAAACAAUUGACACAAAUGAAGUCAGCCAUCAUUACUUACACAGGAUUGGAUUUCAUUGGAGAUUUUAGAGAAAUCUUGUCCUAUAUUUGGCAAAACAAGAAAUUAAGUACAUAACUCAACCACAGUGUUUAAAUUUCCUCUCCUUUUCUUAAAGAGAACCAUCUUAAGUAUACUCAAAAAAGAAUACUAAUAACUGGUUAUUUCUUAUUCGUUUUUUCCUUUCUUCCUUUUUAUGUUGUUUUAUAAUUUGACCCUUUCUUCUGUUUAGAAUUGAUGGAUUCGAACUGAAACCAUUCAUGCAGUCCUCAGAGCUUCCGACUCAAAGACUGGCCUCCGAGACCUUGUCUGCCACCAUGCCACCUAAACCAAUGAGAAGAAAGUUUCAGACUCAUGGUAAAAAUCCUCUGAGACGAUUCUCAUUUGACCAAUCGCUCCUUGAGGUAAAGAGCAAUUGUCAUGGUCACCAUCACAAACCUAGUCGGCACUGGCUGAUGAAUGAAAUAAAGAGAUUGAAAGAAGAGAAUGAAAUACUUCAACAACAAACUACUCCAGAAACUCAGCAAGGGCCUCCUGACGAGUGUACAUCAUUAAAACGUCGCUUGGAGGAGUCCAAUAAUGUAAGAGCAAAUUUAGAGAAGCAAAUUUCUGAACUUCUAAAGGCUAAUGAGAGUUAUUCUCAAACCUCUGAAUCACAAAAAAAGAAAAUUGAUGAAUUAAAACAGGAUGUUUUUAUUUUGAAGAACUUGGUGUAUCGGUUAAAUGUUGAACUAGAAAAGUAUCAAGAUAAAGUCCGAAACUUGAAGAAUCAGAUUGAUGCUACAGAUGAUUGCCACACUGUCACGGAGGAUUCCGGAGUUGGAGAUGCAAAGUUAAUUCAUCAAACGGCCAAAAGCGAUGCUAAACCUCACGUCCCAAGCUGGACACGAUCAGAAAUUCACGCUGUAGCACCUUUACUCAAGGCCUACCAAGAAUCUUUAGAUGAGAAAGAUGAGCUAAUUCAAAAUUAUCAAAAAGCCUUGAUACUUUUGCAGGACGUUGCAAAGAAAUAGUUGCAGAAAAUGAGAAAUUACAUGCUGAGUUGCAAGGUGCCUACAAAAAAGGCGAAGUGUCUUAUGCAGAAUGGGAGUCUGUACAACAAGAUGCUGCCUUUACAC